CUUUUUUUUUUUUUUGUGAUUCAUUCCUGCCUGCGGUUUCUUUCAUCUUGCUGCUGCAAAAAGAUGUAUACCGCCGCACAAAAGAUUCACAAGGACCUGAAUGCUGAGCCCACUGAAUUUGAGGAGAAUGUUGCCCAGGCUCUGUUUGAUUUGGAAAACACAAUCAAGAAAUCAAGAGCGAUCUGAAAGACCUCUACAUCAACUCUGCGUUGUAAGCCGUC
Molecule: non-coding RNA, 221 nt
Organism: Erythranthe guttata (spotted monkey flower)
Lineage: Eukaryota; Viridiplantae; Streptophyta; Magnoliopsida; Lamiales; Phrymaceae
Source: RefSeq, a predicted model, not a curated record